CACGUAGGCGGGUCCUUAAGUCAGGGGUGAAAUCCUGGAGCUCAACUCCAGAACUGCCUUUGAUACUGGGAAUCUCGAGUCCGGGAGAGGUGAGUGGAACUGCGAGUGUAGAGGUGAAAUUCGUAGAUAUUCGCAAGAACACCAGUGGCGAAGGCGGCUCACUGGCCCGGUACUGACGCUGAGGUGCGAAAGCGUGGGGAGCAAACA
RNAcentral lists this ribosomal RNA (207 nucleotides) under uncultured bacterium. RNAcentral describes it as "partial 16S ribosomal RNA". It matches the Rfam family "Bacterial small subunit ribosomal RNA", at positions 568 to 774 of the family's 1533-position model. The record is from RNAcentral.